GCCUGCAGGACAGCUUAGUUGGUAGAGUAUGAGACUCAUAAUCUCAGGGUCAUGGGUUUGAGCCCCAUGUUGGGCA
Podarcis lilfordi (Lilford's wall lizard) is the source of this 76-nucleotide non-coding RNA. The record is from the annotation of a GenBank genome assembly. Lineage: Eukaryota; Metazoa; Chordata; Lepidosauria; Squamata; Lacertidae.